CCUACGGGGUGCUGCAGUGGGGAAUAUUGCACAAUGGGGGAAACCCUGAUGCAGCGACGCCGCGUGAGUGAAGAAGCGCCUCGGCGCGUAAAGCUCUGUCAGCAGGAACGACGAUGACGGUACCUGAAGAAGAAGCCCCGGCUAACUACGUGCCAGCAGCCGCGGUAAGACGUAGGGGGCAAGCGUUACUCGGAAUCACUGGGCGUAAAGAGCGCGUAGGCGGGAUAGCAAGUCAGAUGUGAAAUCCUAGGGCUUAACCAUAGAACUGCAUUUGAAACUGUUAUUCUAGAGUAUGGGAGAGGUAGGUGGAAGUCUUGGUGGAGGGGUAAAAUGCGUAGAGAUCAAGAGGAAUACUCAUUGCGAAGGCGACCUGCUAGAACAUAACUGACGCUGAGGCGCGAAAGCGUGGGGAGCAAACAGGAUUAGAUACCCUUGUAGUC
RNAcentral lists this ribosomal RNA (440 nucleotides) under uncultured bacterium. Its description in RNAcentral is "partial 16S ribosomal RNA". It matches the Rfam family "Bacterial small subunit ribosomal RNA", at positions 338 to 795 of the family's 1533-position model. The record is from RNAcentral.